AAGAGUAUUUAUAUUUUAGACCAUUUAUUAGUUUACAGAAGAUUAAAGUUAUCGCCAAUUAGUAAAAUGCUCAGUUAUAAGAACAUCCCAUACGCUGACUCAAGCAAAAACCUAAUUACGAACUUAACUAGCAUCAAAUGAUGGACUGGAAGAGAAAAUGUAAACAAUACCCGAAUAAUCAUCGUUUUUAAUAGAAAACGAAAAG
Schizosaccharomyces pombe (fission yeast) is the source of this 205-nucleotide non-coding RNA. The record is from the annotation of a GenBank genome assembly. NCBI's taxonomy places the organism in Eukaryota, Fungi, Ascomycota, Schizosaccharomycetes, Schizosaccharomycetales, Schizosaccharomycetaceae.